AUGGGUCGACGGGCGGUCGCGUCAUGUGGUGCGUGCAUCAUAUGCCGAGGAAAGUCCGGGCUCCGCAGGGAAGAACGGUGGAUAACGUCCACUCGGGGCAACCCGCGAGAAAGUGCAACAGAGAGUAGACCGCCAGGGCUGGUUCGCCAGCUCGGGUAAGGGUGAAAAGGUGGUGUAAGAGACCACCGGCGCCUGUGGUGACAUGGGCGGCCAGGUAAACCUCGUUCGGAGCAAGGCCAGAUAGUAGGCGAUGAGGCGUCCCGCUGAGUCUACGGGUAGGCUGCUAGAGCCGGUCGGCAACGGCCGGUCGAGAGAGAUGACCGUCACCGUGUUUCGGCGCGGUACAGGACCCGGCUUAUAGUCGGCCCAUUCCU
RNAcentral lists this RNase P RNA (374 nucleotides) under Leucobacter sp. cx-328. RNAcentral describes it as "Bacterial RNase P class A". It matches the Rfam family "Bacterial RNase P class A". From Rfam's summary of the family: Ribonuclease P (RNase P) is a ubiquitous endoribonuclease, found in archaea, bacteria and eukarya as well as chloroplasts and mitochondria. The record is from Rfam by way of RNAcentral. Lineage: Bacteria; Bacillati; Actinomycetota; Actinomycetes; Micrococcales; Microbacteriaceae.